Long non-coding RNA from Tachysurus vachellii, 776 nucleotides. RefSeq lists it as uncharacterized. The transcript is spliced from 3 exons. The record is from RefSeq and is a predicted model, not a curated record. NCBI's taxonomy places the organism in Eukaryota, Metazoa, Chordata, Actinopteri, Siluriformes, Bagridae.
GAAGACUUUCCGUAGCAGCGUAACAUCCGACGAACAGAGACGCGCUCUCAGAAACGUCCAGAACUGUACAAAAGUUUCCUCAGGGCCUAUUUGCUGCCUUUGUUGACUGUUUGGAGGUCACUUCUUGCACACUGCUCAUUGACUGGCCCUCCUGCUGGCUGAUCUGCUUUGCAACAUCCUCGGCCUGCCGUGUCAUCUGCACCGCUGUUUCCAGGAAUUUAAAGACCCUCAAGCUCCAAACAGAGCCUUGAACCACAGCACCAAUGAAAAAAAAGAAGUCUGCCAACAGCAUGAAGGAAAUAGAUAAGAAUCAACAAAAUCUUCAGGAACAGUUAGGAAAUUCUUGUCCAAAAAAGCCUGCUAGAAUUGUGUCUGAAGGCUUUAGGAAACAACACACUGAUGACAUUGAGGGUUUAACUUGGAGUUUUUUAAAUAUUAAAGACGAUAAAGUAUUCAUAGUAAAAUAUAAAGAUGUUAAUAAGUGUCCAGAUAUGUACAAGCAUAUCAUUAUAUAUGGUUUACAAUUAGAAUGGGGGGGUAAAGACUACAUCUGGAAAGAAUUUAAGUUACUUUGCCAAGAGGAUGAUAUUAAUUUUGUUUUAGACAACUGCUAUAUACUUCAGAGUAGUGACGACAUCCAGAAUUUGUUCAAACACUAUGCAAAUUUUGGUGAAAAGGAUCCCAAAUACAUCAUGAUAAACAGCUGGAUUUAUAAACUGUAUCCAGAGAAAGUUUAUGUAUUUCUUGUAGGAAAACAGCUCAAUAGAACAGAAAAU